GGCCUAACACAUGCAAGUCGAGGGGCAGCACAAGGAGCAAUCUGAGGUGGGCGACCGGCGCACGGUGAGUAACACGUAUGCAACCUGCCUGUAAGCGGGGAAUAACCCGUUGAAAGACGGACUAAUACCGCAUAAUACUAAAUUACUGCAUGGUAAUUUAUUUAAACAUUUAUGGCUUACAGAUGGGCAUGCGCAUGAUUAGCUAGUUGGAGAGGUAACGGCUCCCCAAGGCAACGAUCAUUAGGGGUUCUGAGAGGAAGGUCCCCCACACUGGUACUGAGACACGGACCAGACUCCUACGGGAGGCAGCAGUGAGGAAUAUUGGUCAAUGGACGAGAGUCUGAACCAGCCAAGUCGCGUGCAGGAAGAAUGUUCCCUAUGGAUUGUAAACUGCUUUUGCAGGGGAAUAAAGUGCAUCACGUGUGAUGUUUUGUAUGUACUCUGCGAAUAAGGAUCGGCUAACUCCGUGCCAGCAGCGGC
This 480-nucleotide ribosomal RNA is filed under the name uncultured bacterium. RNAcentral's name for it is "bacterial SSU rRNA". It matches the Rfam family "Bacterial small subunit ribosomal RNA", at positions 45 to 518 of the family's 1533-position model. The record is from RNAcentral.